AGGUCCUUAUCUUGAAACGAGCGAGACGGGUGAAAUGAUCCAGUUGUCGAUUCGCGACGAUACAUGAUCAUCGAGGGAGACCUUGCAGUAAUGUGCUUACGCGUCGCGGGGAGAGAAACCCCGCGCCAAUAAUCCGUAACAUUAUAUAACUGUUGGUAAUGCUCCAUUCGCGCGUGAAACGAAUCGCGUAGUAACUAAGUACUACGCCUGUAUACAAUAAAUAUUACUUGUGCUGUUGCUUGUUGCACAUUACAUAUUGUAGAAGAAUAUCUAAAAUUUCGAAUCUCACCAUUCUGUCUAGACACAUACUCAGGUACAUUUAUGCGUUCGCGAUCUUUACGUAGCUGUUCCAAUGCUUUCUAAAAAUCCACGCCUUAAUACAUGGCCUAUUAUCGUAUAAACGAACUGUUCACUAGGUAUAUGCUAGUGAAAAAUACACGAAACUAUGGAAAAUCGAAGAUAAAAUAAUUUACAUCGUGCUGUUUGUUAAAAAGUAUUACACUGCCGCGAAUUGAAUGUAUCAGAACAGCAUGGUGAUGAAAAAGAUUUACAGAAUUGAUACAGAUCGUAUUAGCUAGGUUAUGAUCUAUUUCAAAUACAUGCAUGAACGAAAGCACGAUUUUCUUUCUGCUAUUUCGGGAAUUUUCUUAUCCAAGGAUAAGAUAACUACUUAAAUACUGUCUCAACGUUCGACAAAUUUCGUAAAGCAAAUAAUAGUUUUUCUGCUAUGCUUUACACUGGACUGCAUAAAACUUCAUCAAGGCAACGUAUUUGAUAACGGACAUAUUUUGUGGCAGAAAACCAAGAUUUUAUACGAAAAAAGAGAAUUAUUUUCUUUUUUUGUGAAGCGCGCGAAAGCGUGACUAUGCACGAUGCAGCUUUCUCUCUCUCUUUCUCUUUCUUUGUUGUACGCUUUGCCAUAAGCUUUCACGGUCUCGCGACACCAGUGCUUAGUUCCAGUAUGAACGCGAGAACGCGUCCAAGUCCAAACUCAUCGUAUCGUACGAAGUAUAUACGUACAUACGGCAAGCAAAGAGGGAAGACGUUCAGAGCGUGCACUAUGCACUACAACGGUUAGACACACACACGUACACACGCACGCGCAUUUCUGCGUAUGCAAUAUAGUGAAUAAGGAAUAAGGAAAUGAACCAAGAAUGCAUGAAGAACAACAUGGACAGGCUAUUUUUGGACUUGUGUUUAUACCGAUAUAAAAUGAAUAAGACAAGAUAGAAACUUCUCUAACAAGUCAAGGAAGGGUACUUAUGAAACAUUGAAUUAAUGGAAAUCGCGAUAACAAUGUGAUGCGCAGAUCGAAAACGAUAUGUAUUAAACAGGAAUAAAUCGUAUCAUAAAAUAA
Molecule: long non-coding RNA, 1357 nt
Organism: Bombus pyrosoma
Lineage: Eukaryota; Metazoa; Arthropoda; Insecta; Hymenoptera; Apidae
Exons: 2
Source: RefSeq, a predicted model, not a curated record